CCAAUAGCGUAUCUUAAAGUUGUUGCAGUUAAAAAGCUCGUAGUUGAAUUUCGGGAUCAAUAUUUCGGUCAUGCCGGUGGUAUGCACUGUUAUCAUUGAUUUCUCACCUUCUAAAGAACCGUAAUGCCAUUAAUUUGGUGUUACGGGGACUUAGGACUGUUACCUUGAAAAAAUUAGAGUGUUUAAAGCAGGCUCACGCUUGAAUACAUUAGCAUGGAAUAAUGAAAUAGGACAUCCGAUUCUAUUUUGUUGGUUUCUAGGAUCGAUGUAAUGAUUAAUAGGGAUAGUUAGGGGCAUUAGUAUUCAAUUGUCAGAGGUGAAAUUCUUGGAUUUAUUGAAGACUAAGUACUGCGAAAGCAUUUGCCAAGGAUGUUUUCAUUAAUCAAGAACGAAAGUUAGGGGAUCGAAGACGAUCAGAUACCGUCGUAGUCUGAACCAUAAACUAUGCCGACUAGGGAUCGGAUGAUGUUAAUUUUUUAAUGACUCAUUCGGCGCCUUACG
This 501-nucleotide ribosomal RNA is filed under the name uncultured Glomeromycotina. Its description in RNAcentral is "partial small subunit ribosomal RNA". It matches the Rfam family "Eukaryotic small subunit ribosomal RNA", at positions 591 to 1092 of the family's 1831-position model. The record is from RNAcentral. Lineage: Eukaryota; Fungi; Glomeromycota.